AGAGUUUGAUCCUGGCUCAGGACGAACGCUGGCGGCGUGCUUAACACAUGCAAGUCGAGCGGAAAGGCCCUUCGGGGUACUCGAGCGGCGAACGGGUGAGUAACACGUGAGUAACCUGCCCUGGACUUUGGGAUAACCCUCGGAAACGGGGGCUAAUACCGGAUACGACAUUCCACCGCAUGGUGUGUUUGUGGAAAGUUUUUCGGCCUGGGAUGGGCUCGCGGCCUAUCAGCUUGUUGGUGGGGUGAUGGCCUACCAAGGCGACGACGGGUAGCCGGCCUGAGAGGGCGACCGGCCACACUGGGACUGAGACACGGCCCAGACUCCUACGGGAGGCAGCAGUGGGGAAUAUUGCACAAUGGGCGGAAGCCUGAUGCAGCGACGCCGCGUGAGGGAUGACGGCCUUCGGGUUGUAAACCUCUUUCAGCAGGGACGAAGCGAGAGUGACGGUACCUGCAGAAGAAGCGCCGGCCAACUACGUGCCAGCAGCCGCGGUAAGACGUAGGGCGCGAGCGUUGUCCGGAUUUAUUGGGCGUAAAGAGCUCGUAGGCGGCUUGUCGCGUCGACUGUGAAAACCCGCGGCUCAACCGCGGGCCUGCAGCCGAUACGGGCAGGCUAGAGUUCGGUAGGGGAGACUGGAAUUCCUGGUGUAGCGGUGAAAUGCGCAGAUAUCAGGAGGAACACCGAUGGCGAAGGCAGGUCUCUGGGCCGAUACUGACGCUGAGGAGCGAAAGCGUGGGGAGCGAACAGGAUUAGAUACCCUAGUAGUCC
Molecule: ribosomal RNA, 771 nt
Filed under: uncultured bacterium
Lineage: Bacteria
Description: bacterial SSU rRNA
Rfam family: Bacterial small subunit ribosomal RNA
Source: RNAcentral